UGGGGAAUAUUGCACAAUGGGCGAAAGCCUGAUGCAGCGACGCCGCGUGAGGGAUGACGGCCUUCGGGUUGUAAACCUCUUUCAGUAGGGACGAAGCGCAAGUGACGGUACCCGCAGAAGAAGCACCGGCUAACUACGUGCCAGCAGCCGCGGUAAUACGUAGGGUGCGAGCGUUGUCCGGAAUUACUGGGCGUAAAGAGCUCGUAGGCGGUUUGUCACGUCGUCUGUGAAAUCCUAGGGCUUAACCCUGGACGUGCAGGCGAUACGGGCUGACUUGAGUACUACAGGGGAGACUGGAAUUUCUGGUGUAGCGGUGGAAUGCACAGAUAUCAGGAAGAACACCGAUGGCGAAGGCAGGUCUCUGGGUAGUAACUGACGCUGAGGAGCGAAAGCAUGGGUAGCGAACAGG
This 409-nucleotide ribosomal RNA is filed under the name bacterium. RNAcentral describes it as "partial 16S ribosomal RNA". It matches the Rfam family "Bacterial small subunit ribosomal RNA", at positions 355 to 776 of the family's 1533-position model. The record is from RNAcentral.